Molecule: long non-coding RNA, 629 nt
Filed under: Homo sapiens (human)
Lineage: Eukaryota; Metazoa; Chordata; Mammalia; Primates; Hominidae
Description: HSALNT0341778
Source: RNAcentral
CUCUUCAUGUAACACGUUGGCCUAAGAGAUCUAUAGAGCUUUUUAAAAACAAAGAAGGCAGCAAGAUUUAAAAUAAUAAAACCAGCUUACUGUAAAUUAGAGGGAGCAAAUUGGAGGAGAAAUGACAAAAGAAACAGAAAAAAUGUUUAAUCAGACAAAGGAACUAAAAAACCUCAGUCUUAAUUAGAAGAUGGUCAAACAAAUCUCUUAACUGAUGUUCACAAUGAUGGUUUCAAGUCAUCUAAGGAAUGGGAGAAAAUACAACUGGUGAAUUGCAAAGAUAUUAAGAAAUUUUUUUCAUGACCUCCAAAGAAUAAAAUUAUAAAACUUAUUCUUACCUUUUUGUUUCCUGUAAACGUGUGGUAUAUUCCCCUUGUCCCUCACGACAAACUUCUCUAUGAUUUCCUCAAUGGUUAAGGCCCCAAAUGAUACAUUAAAAAAUAUACAUUUGUUUUAUAUUUUCAAAGUAUUCUUAAUCUUUAAUUAGGAACUACACUGAAACUCUGUUGUCAAUGCCCCUACGAAGACUGAAAGAGAUGUGAUGGUUUUAAGACUGGUGCCUAUGGUCAAAAGAAUAUACUGACUGCUUCCAAAUGUCUAUAAAUAAAUUAUGGUUUCUUAAAGGCCCA